UUACGGCUCAGUAACACGUGAUUAAUCUGCCCUUAGGACCAGAAUAACUCCUGGGAAACUGGAGCUAAUGCUGGACAGGCGAAGACGCCUGGAAGGGUGCUUCGCCGAAAAGGCGUCAAAAACAUGCUUUUGACGCUGCCUAAGGAUGAGACCGCGUCCGAUCAGGUUGUUGGUGGGGUAACGGCCCACCAAGCCGAUAACCGGUACGGGCCCUGAGAUGGGGAGCCCGGAGAUGGAACCUGAGACAAGGUUCCAGGCCUUACGGGGCGCAGCAGGCGCGAAAACUCCACAAUGCACGAAAGUGUGAUGGGGUUACCCCGAGUGCCGUCCGUUGAGGAUGGCUUUUCAUCGGUCUAAGGAGCCGGUGGAAUAAGGGGGGGGCAAGAUUGGUGUCAGCCGCCGCGGUAAUACCAACCCCUCAAGUGGUGGGGACGAUUAUUUGGCUUAAAGCGUCCGUAGCCGGCCUGACAAGUCUCUCGCUAAAUCCAGCGAUCCAAUCGUUGGUCCGCGGAAGAUACUGUCAAGCUAGGAGGCGGGAGAGGCCGACGGUAUUCCCAGGGUAGGGGUGAAAUCCUAUAAUCCUGGGAGGACCACCAGUGGCGAAGGCGGUCGGCCAGAACGCGCUCGACGGUGAGGAACGAAAGCUGGGGGAGCAAACCGGAUUAGAUACCCGGGUAGUCCCAGCUGUAAACGAUGCAGGCUAGGUGUUGGGGCGGCUACGAGCCGCUUCAGUGCCGCAGGGAAACCAUUAAGCCUGCCGCCUGGGGAGUACGACCGCAAGGUUGAAACUUAAAGGAAUUGGCGGGGGAGCAC
This 813-nucleotide ribosomal RNA is filed under the name uncultured crenarchaeote. Its description in RNAcentral is "bacterial SSU rRNA". It matches the Rfam family "Archaeal small subunit ribosomal RNA", at positions 83 to 879 of the family's 1478-position model. The record is from RNAcentral. Lineage: Archaea; Thermoproteati; Thermoproteota.